CAGGGGGGGAAAAAUACAGUGUCAUUGCUUUGAUGGUUAAACCAUGCUAUGACAAUGUGUUGGCAGUCCUCUUGUUCUUGAGCUUCCUGACCACAUGGACAGCUUCCUGUUAUCUUAGCUUUGGGCUUCAAGCAAGCGGAGAAUUGCAUUUCCUCUCAGACCAACCACUAGAAGGUACUUAGCAUGGAAAAUAAAGAGAUGACAGCCCAUGACAUCCUUUCUGAACCUGCGUGUCGACUUCUGGUCUGUUUGCACAAUUCCGUGCAAGAUUCCCUGAAUCUUGAUGGUGAAAGUCUACUUUCAUUGUUCGAAACUAACAGGAAAAAAACCUCACGAAACAUACUCUGGUACAUUGGAAUGAUGGACUUGAUGCCAGAUGUCAUGGAUGAAGCCAGGUCACUACUAUUCGCCAGUGACCUGUGUCAACUUGAACAAAAUGCAUAACCUCUCUGGUCCUUUAUUGAUAAGUAAUACCUAAUUCAGAAGGCUGCUGUGAAGAUUUAAGUUCAAGAAGAAACUAUAAGUUACUCUAUAUACAUAAGGCUUUUUUUUUUCCUAUUCAAAUUUCAAGAGAAAGUAAUUGAGUUGUUGGCUUUCCCCAGCCUGUGUCUACAUGAGAGUGAGACUGUUUUGACAAGAAAUUAGUGGGAACAGAUACUUGGCAUAUACUCUUCUUGUUACCAGAUCUAGUCACAUCAGGAUAAUGCUUAAUCUAAAUGCUUGCUUCAAAGCAGUUGGUUUUGCCAGAGUGGAGAAAUUUCUAGUGGAAAUAUUUAGAGACAAAUUAGAUCAACUCCAGGCACUCAAUUAUGUUACUCUUGUAUCUGUGAU
Lutra lutra (Eurasian river otter) is the source of this 831-nucleotide long non-coding RNA. RefSeq lists it as uncharacterized. The transcript is spliced from 3 exons. The record is from RefSeq and is a predicted model, not a curated record. Lineage: Eukaryota; Metazoa; Chordata; Mammalia; Carnivora; Mustelidae.